GAGUUUGAUCGUGGCUCAGGACGAACGCUGGCGGCGUGCUUAACACAUGCAAGUCGAACGGUGACCUCGGAGCUUGCUCCGGGUGAUCAGUGGCGAACGGGUGAGUAACACGUGAGCAACCUGCCCCCGACUCUGGGGAUAACCCCGGGAAAUCGGAGCUAAUACCGGAUACGAGACGCACAGGCAUCUGUUGCGUCUGGAAAGAAUUUCGGUCGGGGAUGGGCUCGCGGCCUAUCAGCUAGUUGGUGGGGGUAGUGGCCUACCAAGGCGAUGACGGGUAGCCGGCCUGAGAGGGCGACCGGCCACACUGGGACUGAGACACGGCCCAGACUCCUACGGGAGGCAGCAGUGGGGAAUAUUGCACAAUGGGCGCAAGCCUGAUGCAGCGACGCCGCGUGAGGGAUGACGGCCUCGGUUGUAACGUACUUCUA
Molecule: ribosomal RNA, 431 nt
Filed under: uncultured microorganism
Description: bacterial SSU rRNA
Rfam family: Bacterial small subunit ribosomal RNA
Source: RNAcentral